This 63-nucleotide transfer RNA is filed under the name Microcondylaea bonellii. RNAcentral describes it as "Unio bonellii tRNA-Leu". The record is from RNAcentral. Lineage: Eukaryota; Metazoa; Mollusca; Bivalvia; Unionida; Unionidae.
UGGAGAGUGGCAGAAAAGUGCCUUAGGCUUAAGACCUAACAAUGAGAUUUAACUCCUCCCCAA